GAGUUUGAUCCUGGCUCAGGACGAACGCUGGCGGCGUGCCUAAUACAUGCAAGUCGAGCGGAGUUGAUGAGGUGCUUGCACCUCUGAUGCUUAGCGGCGGACGGGUGAGUAACACGUAGGUAACCUGCCUGUAAGACUGGGAUAACUACCGGAAACGGUUAGCUAAUACCGGAUAAUUUAUUUCUCUCCUGGGGAGAUAAUGGAAAGACGGAGCAAUCUGUCACUUACAGAUGGGCCUGCGGCGCAUUAGCUAGUUGGUGAGGUAACGGCUCACCAAGGCGACGAUGCGUAGCCGACCUGAGAGGGUGAACGGCCACAC
RNAcentral lists this ribosomal RNA (319 nucleotides) under bacterium enrichment culture clone ALO1_GLFRUDD03GRWQW. RNAcentral's name for it is "bacterial SSU rRNA". It matches the Rfam family "Bacterial small subunit ribosomal RNA", at positions 9 to 313 of the family's 1533-position model. The record is from RNAcentral.